Molecule: ribosomal RNA, 469 nt
Filed under: uncultured bacterium
Lineage: Bacteria
Description: partial 16S ribosomal RNA
Rfam family: Bacterial small subunit ribosomal RNA
Source: RNAcentral
GACGAACGCUGGCGGCGUGCUUAACACAUGCAAGUCGAACGGUGAAGCGAGUGCUUGCACUCGUGGAUCAGUGGCGAACGGGUGAGUAACACGUGAGUAACCUGCCCAUCACUCUGGGAUAAGCACUGGAAACGGUGUCUAAUACUGGAUACGACCAACCCUUGCAUGGGGUGUUGGUGGAAAGAUUUAUCGGUGAUGGAUGGACUCGCGGCCUACCAGCUUGUUGGCGGGGUAAUGGCCCACCAAGGCGACGACGGGUAGCCGGCCUGAGAGGGUGACCGGCCACACUGGGACUGAGACACGGCCCAGACUCCUACGGGAGGCAGCAGUGGGGAAUAUUGCACAAUGGGCGAAAGCCUGAUGCAGCGACGCCGCGUGAGGGAUGACGGCCUUCGGGUUGUAAACCUCUUUCAGCAGGGAAGAAGCGAAAGUGACGGUACCUGCAGAAGAAGCACCGGCUAACUACGUG